UGGUUGCCAAUGUGAGUCCAGUGUUCAGUUGCGACUGAGCAGUCACUCGGGAAGUAGUGUUCCGUUUGAUCUACACAUUUUGAAAAAGUGCUUGACGAUCGGUAGCUACUGAGAGACCCAUAUCAUUGGAAAUUUCGUGAAUUCCGUAACUCGGGGAUUUUUCCAUAAGCACUGGUUUUCCGUAUUGAAUUCGACGGCAGUUCGGCUUCGGCGACAGGAGCGACGACAUCAGGAGCGACAUUAGUAGCAAAGCGGGUUCCUCAGAGCGACGAUGGAGAGAGAGAACUGACAUCCACGAGUCUCUUUAAAGAUCCACUCCUCUCCAUCCUGUUCCGAUAGAGAUGGGUCUGCAACACAUGAGACGUACAACUCCUUUUUUUUUGCGGAGGUAUGUUUCAUUUGAUUUAUCCCUUUCGAGAGUCCCUAUAGUAUAUUCCAACAUUCAGAGUCUGCGUAUAUGAAUUGCACCCCCUUGGAGAAAAUUUUCGAAGUCCUCAUAAAAUCAGAUCA
Athalia rosae (coleseed sawfly) is the source of this 510-nucleotide long non-coding RNA. RefSeq lists it as uncharacterized. The transcript has 3 exons. NCBI's taxonomy places the organism in Eukaryota, Metazoa, Arthropoda, Insecta, Hymenoptera, Athaliidae. The record is from RefSeq and is a predicted model, not a curated record.